Molecule: RNA transcript, 4162 nt
Organism: Amphiprion ocellaris (clown anemonefish)
Lineage: Eukaryota; Metazoa; Chordata; Actinopteri; Pomacentridae
Gene: mafa
Gene name: MAF bZIP transcription factor a
Exons: 4
Source: RefSeq, a predicted model, not a curated record
UGAUCCCACUAAAAAAUCGCCCCACCAGUCAGCGGCUUCUAACGUAGCGAGGCAGCGCUCACUCCUCUCUGCUCUCGGCCGGUCUCCCUCUCCGCCUGCGUAAUGUGCGCACGAAGAAACCCGUAAAGUGUUAAAUGUUUGAAAUACAAAACCGCCGAAUUUCACAUGCUGAGAAAGGACUUCGCUACUCGUGCGCGCGGCACUGCUGUGUCUGUGCACUAGACUCCGCAAAGAAAAACUCCUCACACGCCUGCAAGUCCGCGGCUGCAAAAGGGACGCAGAAAAGCUCAUUUUUCAGUUUCAAGGCAAACGCUUAAAAAUCAAACUGGCUCACGUUCUUCCCAACCAGCCCAGUUUGACAGCUGCUCUUCACCCCGUUUGGAGGACUGUCAGCAGCAAGAGGAUGGCAUCAGAGCUGGCAAUGAGCAACUCCGACCUGCCCACCAGUCCCCUGGCCAUGGAAUAUGUUAAUGACUUCGAUCUGAUGAAGUUUGAAGUGAAAAAGGAGCCGGUGGAGCCCGAUCGCAACAUCAGCCAGUGCAGUCGCCUUAUCGCCGGGGGAUCCUUGUCUUCCACCCCGAUGAGCACGCCUUGCAGCUCGGUGCCCCCUUCCCCAAGCUUCUCGGCGCCCAGUCCGGGCUCGGGGAGCGAGCAGAAGACACACAUAGAGGAUUUCUACUGGAUGUCCGGUUACCAACAGCAGUUGAAUCCAGAGGCGCUGGGCUUCAGCCCCGAAGACGCAGUCGAGGCGCUGAUCAACAGCAGUCACCAGCUCCAGUCCUUCGAUGGCUAUGCCAGGGGCCAGCAGUUCGCUGGCGCAGCCGGAGCAGGAGGCACCAUGGCCGGGGAGGAGAUGGGCUCCGCCGCGGCGGUGGUGUCGGCAGUCAUCGCUGCGGCAGCCGCUCAGAACGGAGGGCAGCACCACCACCACCACCACCACCACCACAGCAGCGGCCACCACCAGGCGCCCGGCGUCCAGUCCAACGGCACUUCUGGGACAAAUCACCCACACAUGCGCUUGGAUGAGCGGUUUUCAGACGAGCAGCUGGUGACCAUGUCGGUGCGGGAACUCAACCGGCAGCUACGGGGGGUCAGCAAGGAAGAAGUGAUCAGAUUGAAACAGAAGAGGAGGACCCUAAAGAACAGAGGCUACGCGCAGUCCUGCCGGUUCAAGCGGGUCCAGCAGCGGCACGUCCUGGAGGGAGAGAAGACGCAACUCCUGCAGCAGGUCGAGCACCUAAAGCAGGAGAUCUCCAGGCUGGUCCGGGAGAGGGACGCGUACAAAGAAAAGUAUGAGAAGCUCAUCAGCAACGGCUUCAGAGAAAAUGGAUCCAGCAGUGACAACAACCCUUCAUCCCCGGAGUUUUUCAUGUCAUCAAGAAAAUUCCUCCAUCUGUGAUUUCAAGCUCCAUUCUUCUGUGCCCUUGGAUCCUGGAGAAAUGACUGAUAGUAAAUGGCUUCCAAGAGGGUGCUGCAGAGUGAGGGGAUAACCCAACAACUGAGCAGUGAUGACAUCAGAGCGGCUGACCAAUCACACCAAGACACCUACAAAGCACAACAUUCAAAAUGACUUCACUGAAGAACAACAGACAAGACCCACUAGAAUCCCUCAAAAUCCCUACAGUGAAAUUCUUGAAAGUCUCUUACUACUCCAGUUUCCCUCCCUGAUAUUUUACCUCCAGCUUUUUUCUACAAAACAUGAAAAAAACAAACAAACAAACAAAAAAAUGUGGACAAAUUCAUAAUCAUGAGAUGGUCGACGACGCCACAUAAAUACACUGGAAGGACUAUUUUCUCUUCGGUGGGAAGAUCACCGAUGCAUGCUUCUGUAAAUAGAUCAUAGUAAAAUUUAUUGUUAUUCCUAGUAUAGGAAACAUACCAAGUCACUCUCACCAAAUUCAUAAACCUUCAUUACGGUGGAUAGAGUACUUAUGGUUCGAUAUUUUCCAUAUUAAAUCAGUAUUCUUCUUACCUAUUCAGAGCCCAUGUAAUUAUCAUUUCCAAUAUCAUUUCUCUAGUCUUUAAAGUUAUUUCAACUGUAAAAAUUGUACUUCUUAUUCUUCUUAUUCUCUUUACUUAACAGCCUAGUCUUCCUCUCCAAUAUCCACACUAGUACAUGUAAAUAGAAAUGAAUGAAGACAACAGCAUGGACCAGACUAUAGUGUAUAUUUACCGCCCUGUUAGAUCACAAAUUGCAGUAUGUGGAUAUUUCAGACAACCUUUUUAAAAGUUUAAAAUACUUGAACUUCUUUUCUGAUAGACACAGUUGUAGAUAUCUGGACAUUUUUUCAUAUGUAUUUGAAUAGAUCCAUACAGGCCUUAGCUAUAGGUAACAAUUAUUAUUUGACCACCUUACGGACGAUAAAGCAGCAAUUCCUUUGGUAUUGUCAGUCAGUUCCACUGCGAACCAGUCAAACUGAAGAGGAAAAGCAGGCAAUUCACCAAAGUUACAAGCCUGACUUAGCACUUACAAGUUUUUUUUUUUUUUUUUUUACAUUUGAUAUAUUAUUUGAUGUCAUUAUUUACAAUUCUCCCCCAAUAUCUAUUUAAGUAUUAUUUCCCAUUGCAAUAAUUGCCAUUAAAUUCCCCACGUCCAUGUUGUAACUGCUGUAGCAAAGCUGCUGUCAGUCUGCGAGAGGCUCAUUUUUUUCUUUGCAUGGUUUGAAUUCCAAUCCUGAGCCUACACACAGGGGGAGGAAAGAACACCUCAUUGACUGUAAUGCAGACAUUAGGACUCUGAACCUCCGUCUUCUAUGAACUAUGAAGAAAACCAAAUGGACUGACAGAUAACAUGCCAAGCCAAUGAACAGACGACCUCAAAGAUGAACACCUCACUGGUGAAGACAGAAAACCUUUGCAUGGACAACAGGAAGAAUACUAGCUCGUUGAACACCUCAUCUCCACUAUCAUGCAUCCUCUACCUCUCAGUGUGUGCUGUACAUCGAGGAAUCCAUGUCUUUUCCGUGACCCCCUCUAAUGCCCCCACUUUUUCCCGCUGCAUGUCCCUACAGAGCCUCGUGAGGAGAGUUCACCGCUGAAUGCCACCGAUGUGUGCAUAUGGCAAUGGGGAAAACAAAACAAAUGCUCACUUUGAAACACUCACAAUACAUACUGUAUGAGCGCAUGCAUACAGAUGCACAAUCCUACACAGCGCCACUCAAAUACUUUGCUGUAUAUAUGUACAGUAUGUCCACUAUGUAUAGUCUCAGAUGCUGUACUUUGCAUGUUGACUUGUAGAUGGAACGUGACCACUAUUCAUAGAGGAGGAUGUGCAGGUGGACAGUGGGGAAACUCUAAACCAAUGCAAGCUGUUUGUCAGCUUUACACCUGUUUGCUUUGAUUUGAGAAAAUGUACAGUAACAUGACAGCAACAGUUUUAUGUCUCCCGCUCCCAUUGUGAGAGGCUGUCUUCCACUAAACAGCGGUGCUGAUGCAGUGUAAACUCUUAAAAGGGACACAUACACUCCCGUUUGAUGUCAGACAGAACCUGGCCACAGUAAGCGUAGGUAGAAGAAGAGACGAGGGAAGGCAAACUGGGGCGCUCCAAUUAAGUGGCAGCGCACAAAGUGGCAUGGGGCAUCCUGCCAGCAACUGUCUAUUCAUCCUGUGUCAAAGGGAUUUUCACGUCUCAGUGAGUCUACGCAGUGACAGAGGAGUUCAAGAGGAAAGCAGAGAAAGGAAGGUCUGGCAGUAAGGAUGGAUAGGAAAAAUUUGGACAAAAAAAAAUAUAAGGCUGUGCUGAGCUUUUGUUAGUGUAUUUUACUGGUCUGACCACCAGUGUGAUAUUUCUUUCUGGCCUCCUUGGAGAGUCCAAUAACUCUUUGACCUCAAACUGUUAAACCAUCAUGCAGCUCUCUGGGCUGUCAUGACCUCGCGUCCUGUCUGAGGUUAACUUUGUGUUAAUGAGCAUGGCCCUCAGUUCAACCAGAUGUUCAGCCUUGCGGUUAAAUACCUGUUAGCUCCUGUGAUUCUUUAAUGCCUGCCCACUCCAUCUGUACUCUUUCUGGACAACGCUACAGAAACAUCUUCACCGAGUUAAAAAUAAAUGUCAAGCAGGGAGGAACUUAAACUCAGUAGAACUGGUGUGUUUCCUUUGGAGUAAAAACAAUAAAAAUCUGAUGGAAAUAAUCAGCGCAAACCAAACAGCAAAGAAAGCAGAAUA